UACGGAGGGGGCUAGCGUUGUUCGGAAUUACUGGGCGUAAAGCGUACGUAGGCGGCGAUUCAAGUCAGAGGUGAAAGCCCGGGGCUCAACCCCGGAACUGCCUUUGAAACUAGAUUGCUAGAAUCCUGGAGAGGUUAGUGGAAUUCCGAGUGUAGAGGUGAAAUUCGUAGAUAUUCGGAAGAACACCAGUGGCGAAGGCGACUAACUGGACAGGUAUUGACGCUGAGGUGCGAAAGCGUGGGGAGCAAACAGG
RNAcentral lists this ribosomal RNA (253 nucleotides) under uncultured bacterium. RNAcentral describes it as "partial 16S ribosomal RNA". It matches the Rfam family "Bacterial small subunit ribosomal RNA", at positions 524 to 776 of the family's 1533-position model. The record is from RNAcentral.